Molecule: ribosomal RNA, 528 nt
Filed under: Bombus pressus
Lineage: Eukaryota; Metazoa; Arthropoda; Insecta; Hymenoptera; Apidae
Description: partial 16S ribosomal RNA
Rfam family: Bacterial large subunit ribosomal RNA (bases 376-528)
Source: RNAcentral
GGCUUAAUGAUAUUAAUUUUAAGUCAAUCUGCCCAAUGAUUAUUAAUUUAAUGGCUGCAGUAUAAUUGACUGUACAAAGGUAGCAUAAUCAAUUGUUUUUUAAUUAAAAACUGGAAUGAAAGAAUUAAUGAGAUAUAUACUGUCUCAUAUAUAUUUAAUUAAUUUAAAUUUUUAGUUAGAAUGCUGAAAUUUAUUUAUGGGACGAUAAGACCCUAUAGAAUUUUAUAUUAAUAAAAAAAUUUAUUAUUUUAUUUUUUAUUAAUAUUUAGUUGGGAGGAUUAAUAAAUUUAUUAAACUUUAUUUUAAAUAUAAACUUUGAUUUAAGAAUUUAAUAAUGAUCUUGUAAUAUAAAUUAUAAGAAUAAAUUACCUUAGGGAUAACAGCGUAAUAUCUUUAAUAAGAUCAAAUUAGUAAAGGUGAUUGCGACCUCGAUGUUGAAUUAAGAUAAAUUUUAAAUGGAGAAGUUUAAAAAUUAAGUCUGUUCGACUUUUAAAAUCUUACAUGAUUUGAGUUCAAAUCGACGUGAGU